RNAcentral lists this long non-coding RNA (2815 nucleotides) under Nicotiana tabacum (common tobacco). RNAcentral's name for it is "long non-coding RNA (NTAB_LNC016871)". Lineage: Eukaryota; Viridiplantae; Streptophyta; Magnoliopsida; Solanales; Solanaceae. The record is from RNAcentral.
CCCGCGAAGCCAAGAACCUAAACUUACUAGGAAGACCGGACCCUAUGUGGGUUGCCUACGUAUCCCGCCCCGAGAGACAAGAAUCAGGUUCGCGUAGUUUGGGCAGAUUGGAUAUAGGCGAGAAUUAAAAAAAAUUAAUUUAGAGAAAACAUAUUUUUUGUCUUUUGUUUUGGAAAAUGGUGAAACAUAUAAACUCUUUUUGGAUUUUCUUUUUCCUUUUUUUCUGAUUUAUUUUUGAAAAAAUAAUGGGAAAGUGCAAAAUCUUUUUGGAUUUUUCAUAAUUUCUUUUGGUCUUUUUCUUAAAAAAAUGUGAAAGAAAAAUAUAAUUGAGCCCUACUUGCUUUAUUUUCACACUUCACCCUCUUUUCUUUCUCAUCUACCCUCAGUCAUCAUUGGUCCGCCAAAUGACCUUUUUACCCUUAAAGAAAUACAACAUGUAGCACAUAGGAUGCAUUAGGAUGGUCUGUUAUUUUGGGUAGACAUGUCCUAGAUAGACCCAACCCUCUGUUGAGUCUCAAAAGUCAAAUGCACGUGAUGCAAACAAACGUUCCUACUAGGGAUCUGGAAUGAGGCUGUGUUUUUCUAGGUUUUAAAAUAUGGGGUUGUGUUCUUGACCUGGCUUACCCGAACGGACAACUCGAGUCGAAGAGGGGGCAACGUACCUGGAGCACUGAAGUCUAUCCGAUCUUGUUGCUGGCCCAGCCUCAUUCUAUUUGGUAUAACUUCUACAGAAAAAGCGGGCUACGCGAACGUGUGCACCAUUUUUAGAAGACUCGGAGGGGUGGCGUAAGAAGACAGUUAUAUACAAUUCAAAUAAUAUCAAAGCGGUAAACUAACAGCAUUUAGCACAUAAGGUUCAUAGAAUACAGUAAUAUUAACAAUAAAUGAAGCCAAGCAAAAAUCAUAUUAACAAGCUCGAAUUCUGAACCCGGAACCAGAAGUUCUGGGUUCUUAUCCCCAGCAGAGUCGUCAGAGCUGUCACACCUCCUUUUUACUACCCCCGGAAAAGAUAUAAAGGAGUUUUUUCCAAUUUAAGUGACAAUCGAAACGAGAUUUAUUUAUGUUAAAAUUAGAGUCGCCAGUUGGGAUAAUUUAUGGUGUCCCAAGUCACCAGAUUAAAAUCCCAAAUCGAGGAAGAUGACUUUUAUUUAUGGUCUGCGAACAUAGAAAUUCGGGUAAGGAAUUCUGUUAACCCGGGAGAAGGUGUUAGGCAUUCCCGAGUUCCAUGGUCUUAGCACGUGCGCUUUGAUCAUACUUGGCUCAUUAAAAUUGUCUAAUUACUUAUUUUAGAACCUGUGUGAAUUUGCCUCUUUUAAUUAAGAAAUUAUCUUAAAACAGGUCAUGAGUACGUGUACCCAUUUGUUUGGCGCAUCAAAAAUCAUGUCACGCGAAUGUGUCCACAAUUAGUAACGCUCUAUUAUUAUUAAGAAAGAUUAGUCAAAGUUACGUGAGCGCUACUCCAAUUUUAUUUUUAGGAUCGUAAUUAUGUCAUGUGAAUGUGUCCACAAUCAUGACAAUAGAUUAUAAAAUACGCCUAAAGCAUUCUAACCAUAUUCAAUUUCUGAAAAUGUAAUCGUGUCACGCGAACGUGUACAUAAUCACUAUAAACUAAUUAAUGCGCGUCUAAAAGCAUUUUUACGAUAUUUAUGAAUAUAAACGGCCGAAGCAUGCUCCUAACGAUCGAAAGGGUAUAGCGAAAUAAAAAACUAAAAGAAAUGAUCCAAAGCUCGACUUGUUAUAGCACUUUCGGUUGUCUUCCGUGACAAACAACUUGUGUCAAGAAGCCAAAAUCUAUUUUUUAUUUUUUCUUAAAUCCAAUCACUGUUAUGGCUGAUUUUAUAUUCUUAACAAGUAUCCAAAAAAACAAUUAACUAAAUGGAUCACAUGCAUUCACACUUUUAAUAAAAAUAAAAAUUAACUGAUUCAUGUUCGUUCCCAAAGACUGCAUCAAAUGAAAACUUCAACAUAAAUGAACCAAAUUAUGAGAGUCUCAAACAAACAACGAAACAAACAUAACAAUCACGUGGCAUUCAUAAUCGUCAAAGCUUAAAAACUAGGAAACAAAGAGGAAACUUAAGAUUAAAGUAAGAAAUUGACCUCAAAUAUUGACAGCUUUUCCAAUUACAAUAGCGAUAUACGAAUGGUGAACCGAGACCGAACUCAACCGGAAAAGUGAACCAGGAUCGAAACCUCUAAUUAAAAUUAUCAGUGGUGACCUCGAAGCUCGCCGGAAAAACUCGAAUUAGAUCAGAAAGACGAAACCAAUACAAUUCUUGCACAAAAAUGGACCGGCCAAGCUCCUACCAUGGUUUUUCAAAUGCUAUUUCUAGAUUCUGCUCCUUCCUUCUGCUAAUAGUUCCUCCACUAAGUUAACUCCCCCAUUUUCAAUCCCCCCCCAUUUGUCCUCCCCACUAUAUGUGUGCGUAUCUUUUGGUCUUGGGGGGGGGGGGGGCUGACUUCUCUUUUUUGGGUGAAAGAGGUGAUCUAACUUAGAGGUUCUGCGGCUGAAGCUUAAGAGGGAACGACUGCCAUUCUCGCUGGUUUUGUUUUGUCUAGAUGAUGAAGGACGGUUGUGUCCUUGUGCGUGCUCUUAGCGUUUUAUAAGUUUCUAUGUUGAAGAAGCGGGUCUAAAUUUUUCCAUCAGAAGAGAGCCGAUGGUGGGGGGUCUUGAAGGGUUAAGGGUCUACUGUGGAUUUGAUAGAGUGUAUAUAUCUCCUAAGGUAUGUUGUUGUUGGAAUGAAGAAGACGAUCCAAAGGGGUGGAGGUCUGUCCUUUUGUUGAAACACGACGCUGUCUCUUAAUGUCUAAGGUCCCU